UCGAUGUCCAAAAUGUCAGUUCGUACUGUGAGCGGAGGUGAUGACCCUCAAGUUUUCGUCAAUGAUAGUUGUGAAACACGUGAGAUACCUGUCUCCUGAACUUCAUGGAAAGGGACCUGGCAAAAAUAAAGUGGAGAAACAAAUGAAAACUGAACAGGAGGGAUUGAUGAAACAGAUGAGCUCAACGAUAGCCUCUUUCA
Cryptotermes secundus is the source of this 200-nucleotide long non-coding RNA. RefSeq lists it as uncharacterized. The transcript is spliced from 3 exons. The record is from RefSeq and is a predicted model, not a curated record. Lineage: Eukaryota; Metazoa; Arthropoda; Insecta; Blattodea; Kalotermitidae.